UGAGUGUUCGUUUCCGGCACUACAUUAGCUCUUUCCGGGCUUAUACAUGUUACUAUACGGGAGUAGGGAGUGGGGCUUUUUCUCGCGGUUUUUCCUUAAAAAGGGAAUAAAGCGAGAUGGGGUCAUGAAAAUCAGAGUAGAAAUUAUGACUUUGAGGUUGUCCCCCUGCGUCAGUAAUUAAUAUUGGUGUUGUUAUUUCAGCAAUGAAUAUUCAGCCGUGAUGGAAAAGAGAGGGAGAUAAUAAAGUGCCAGCAUCUGCGGUUAAACUUUGCCUUCGGGUUAAUGUGUUCUUGUGGUGGGGCGGCAGAGAAUAACAGGCGAGCUUUUUCCCUAUUCCGGUGAAAUGGGUAGAGGAAAAUUUUUUAGGGGCCUGAACUCUGUGAGCUCGUAAGGCUGUCUUAAGAGACGGGGAUUAGAGACCCCCUUAUUUAUGCUGUUUUAUGAAUCCAUGGGUAGUACGAGUGGUUGCUUAAAAUCUAAGGAAGUUGGCGGUGAUCUCAUAUCAUGUGAGGGGAACUUGGCGGUUAAUUCGAUGAUCCUCGAAAACCUUACCUCUUGUUUUCUUAGCCUACCGCCGUUGUCAGUAAUCUUUUUGAUAAAGUAGAGGAUUGCUAGGGAUACUAAACCUAUUAAAAUUUUUGUUGGUUUACCUAUUCGAAUUCAGGUAAGGGUGUUGGGUAUCAAGAGGGCUUUGCUGAGUUACAAUUAUCAAAUAAAACGGAAGUAUAGGCUGAAAUGCCUUACUGAAGGUGUACUUCACAGUAAUGUUUUCAAGUGAGGAAACGUGAACGGGUUCUGGGUCGUGUACAAAUCGCCCGGCACCCCUGUAUAUAUAAAGUCUGGGUAAGUCGUAACAUAGUAAUGCUACCAUAAGGUGGUUUUACAGAAU
Molecule: ribosomal RNA, 889 nt
Filed under: Bankia setacea
Lineage: Eukaryota; Metazoa; Mollusca; Bivalvia; Myida; Teredinidae
Description: 12S ribosomal RNA
Source: RNAcentral